Molecule: long non-coding RNA, 341 nt
Organism: Apis dorsata (giant honeybee)
Lineage: Eukaryota; Metazoa; Arthropoda; Insecta; Hymenoptera; Apidae
Exons: 2
Source: RefSeq, a predicted model, not a curated record
CGACCAACGUAUAAAUAAUUUUCUCGGCCCACUUCCACACACCGUGGUGCAGCGCAAAGGCUAUGUUAACCACGGCGUUUACGUCGGCAUCCUGUAACGAUGUAGCGAGACACUUCAUGAAACGCGCUUUUUUCGCGGACUAAUGGAUACACCGGAGUAAUUGCAAAUGGUAUACGACUGAAGGGGAGAAAGAAGAAAUGAUAAAAGUGUAAAUGGCUGGCGACAUUUUAUAAGCAGAAAUAGUCUUAUGAACUGUGAUUGAGAUGAAGUGAUUGGAAUGAAAUAAUAAUUGCAUACUAAUUACAUACAUAUAAACAAGUAAAAAAAUGUUGAAGAAUCAG